AGUAUUUUGCGAAGCUCGGUUGACGUCGAUAAGCGUGCGUUGACGCUCCGGCGAGAUACUGAACGCCAACGCGAGCUCCGGAGGAAUCAACAGCUGAGACAAAGGGGUGAGAUCGUCGGCAGUAGGUAGGCCAAUCUCCCACUCUGCAACUCUCUCUACAUCUCCGUUGGUAUCCUCCCCGUUCGGUUCGUACUCACCGAUCUUCACUUCCUCCCCCA
Molecule: unclassified non-coding RNA, 218 nt
Filed under: Hevea brasiliensis (rubber tree)
Lineage: Eukaryota; Viridiplantae; Streptophyta; Magnoliopsida; Malpighiales; Euphorbiaceae
Source: RNAcentral